Molecule: long non-coding RNA, 287 nt
Organism: Pseudomyrmex gracilis
Lineage: Eukaryota; Metazoa; Arthropoda; Insecta; Hymenoptera; Formicidae
Exons: 3
Source: RefSeq, a predicted model, not a curated record
UACAACAUUCUAUCGAGAAUUGUGUGUGGCACACACCCUCUUCGAAAAAAGAUCAUGCCAUAUGCAACACAAUAAUGCACGCGACAAUCGCACACCGUAGAGCUAAAAGUUUUGCCACUGAUGUAAUAGCAUCAGUUAAUACACUCUUUUGCAUCGUAACUAUAAUUGCUAUAAUGGGAUUGAUUACCGAUUUAUACGGAAUCUUUGAAGCGAUAGCAAUAUCAGGAGAUAUGAAAAUAUUACUACAAUGUUGUUUUUCCGGAGCUGGCCUUCUGCUUUUUAUAUUU